ACACUUCAGAAUCAGGCAAUCCCUCCAGAUCAAGGAUGACUUGCUUCCGCUCCAGCACUGUGGGUUCUGAGGUGACUGGUAAGACCAGUGUGGGAAUUGCAGAAAUGCCUGACCUGGCAGGAUAGAAUUGCACCAACUGCAAUAUUGGAC
This is a long non-coding RNA of Pristis pectinata (smalltooth sawfish), 150 nucleotides long. RefSeq lists it as uncharacterized. Lineage: Eukaryota; Metazoa; Chordata; Chondrichthyes; Rhinopristiformes; Pristidae. The record is from RefSeq and is a predicted model, not a curated record. The transcript has 3 exons.